Molecule: long non-coding RNA, 285 nt
Organism: Daphnia pulicaria
Lineage: Eukaryota; Metazoa; Arthropoda; Branchiopoda; Diplostraca; Daphniidae
Exons: 2
Source: RefSeq, a predicted model, not a curated record
GCCGUCAAUUGCGUUGCCUAACACACCAACCGAAUCUGCGUCCAAGGUCAAACGUUCCAAGUCUUUCUCUGAUUACAGACAGCGAGCCGAGUCCCUGGAUUCACUGAAGGUGGAGGAAUAUGAAGAGUUAAAACAAAUGGAAGGUUCAGACGAUGACGACGAAGAAUCCGAAGAAGAAUCACCCCGUCCGCGAUCUUCUCACGUCCGGCGCAAAUAGCUGUUACAAAUAAAGAGGUCCAGAGUCUGAUUUAUUUCAAAGGUAUGUUAAAUACAAAGCCAGUACAG